GACGAACGCUGGCGGCGUGCUUAACACAUGCAAGUCGAACGAAGCUUGAUUACGGAUUCUUCGGAUGAAGUAUGAUAUGACUGAGUGGCGGACGGGUGAGUAACGCGUGAGUAACCUGCCCUUCAGAGGGGGAUAGCGGUUGGAAACGAACGGUAAUACCGCAUAAUGUAUUUUGACCGCAUGAUCGAAAUACCAAAGAUUUAUCGCUGAAGGAUGGACUCGCGUCUGAUUAGGUAGUUGGUGGGGUAACGGCCUACCAAGCCGACGAUCAGUAGCCGGACUGAGAGGUUGAUCGGCCACAUUGGGACUGAGACACGGCCCAGACUCCUACGGGAGGCAGCAGUGGGGAAUAUUGCACAAUGGGCGCAAGCCUGAUGCAGCAACGCCGCGUGAAGGAAGACGGUUUUCGGAUUGUAAACUUCUGUUCUUAGUGAAGAAUAAUGACGGUAGCUAAGGAGCAAGCCACGGCUAACUACGUG
RNAcentral lists this ribosomal RNA (479 nucleotides) under uncultured bacterium. Its description in RNAcentral is "partial 16S ribosomal RNA". It matches the Rfam family "Bacterial small subunit ribosomal RNA", at positions 28 to 507 of the family's 1533-position model. The record is from RNAcentral.